UCCCUCCGCCUCCGAGCUGUGGAUGUCCAGGGGCUGAGUGGUGCCAAAGCGACAAGCAAUCCGCUGCUCCGGGUUUUACGAGCAGCACGAGGAAGAGCCUGGACCGGGCUGGGGAAGCUGUCAGUGGAGGCGGUCUUCAGAACUUUGACAAUGCUCUUCAAUAUGAUGGACUUCAAUUGUAGCCUCUAGCAGUGAUGUUCUGGAAAGCCAUCGCUUCCCUUGGGCAAAGGGCAUCUAGUUCCCAAUUAACCGAAGCAGCUUGCAUCAGCUCAGAAACUCUGACCCUAUCAAAUGAAAUCCUCUUGCUCUCUCCCAAUGAGAGACAGCCCUGCAAUGUGUCCUCCCAACAGAGCAUGCUCUACCCAGGAAGCAGUCAAGGUCUUCACAGCCUCUGGAAAAUGCAACCAACAUUGAUGAGACGUUCCCACAGAAGCACUGCUCAGGCAGCAUCCGGGAGUGGGUCGGAAGAGAGACUGUGAUGCUUUCGAAAAUGUGGUGUCUCGGUGUCUGCUGUUUCUGUUAAUCCUGAAGAUGCUCACCCGUGAGACUGAAUCAGAAGCCUGUCCCUGCCCUCACUCAGAGGAUGAGUCACACGGUGUGGGCGAGGUUUGGAGAUGGAAGCCAGCUCUGCUCUCUCCGUUGGUAACCAAGGCAAAGGCAUCUUGCUGAGAGAAUGCUUGCAAGUGCAUAGAAAGCUAAUCCCACGGUCAGGCCUGUGAAUGUUGGUUACCACUGUUGGCUAUCCUUUGCUUAAGUUUAAGUCACGGCAUCUUCAGAAUCACAUAGUUCCAAGAUACCAAGGUACUCUGUCUUCUGGUCCACAUUCCUUUGUCAUUGAACAAUUGCAUACACUGAACAGGCUUUGGGUAAAUGAGGGAAGGACAGGGGACCAAGAGAGAAUUUGAGUGCUUGGGAAAUAGCAUUGAACAGUAAGUCAGAAGGUGAGGAGGCCUCUAGAGGUGUACCUUUAAAUUCCAGAUUUGUGUUUCACUGUGUAGGUUUUGGCAGGUUGUCAAAGGCAUUUGAGUUUCCCUCAUUUCCAAUAUACCUUAAAGUGUCUCUUUCAUGGAAAACACCUAGCACAGAGUAUCCGGGUUGCUCUCAGUGAUUGGCAAGUGACAUCUUUUUCUACUAUGUUAAAUGCUCACCAGAAAAAAAAAUGUUCUGAAGGUCCUGUCUUAUCAGAUCAGAGCCAUGUGGGCAGAGAAGGGGUCAGAGAAGGACAGAAAGAGCAUGAGAGACUGUCCAAGAGCACAUGGGAACACACACACACACACACACACACACACACACACACAGAGAGAGAGAGAGAGAGAGAGAGAGAGUGAGAGAGAGAGAAAGAGAGAGAGGGAGAGAGAAAGAGAGAGAGAGAGAGAGAGACAGAGAGAGACAGAGAGAGAGAGAGAGAUGGGGUGGUGACCAGUCCUUUUCUGUGCUAGGUCACUUGCACCCGGAAGUGGCAGAUAAUGGUGGCAGGUGAUGACUUAAGCUGUUGCUAGGUCCCUGGGAGGAGCCUGGUGGAAUCACCUAGAAGCCAACAGUAACGACGACACAGACAUGGGUGUAUUAUCCUCUCUUUGUUCAGUGUAAACUUUAUUUGCUAUGUGCUUUAAGCACACGACUUUUAAGUGUUUGCAAUAAAGGUAUACGUUAAGUG
This 1657-nucleotide long non-coding RNA is filed under the name Mus musculus (house mouse). Its description in RNAcentral is "RIKEN cDNA 1700087I21 gene". The record is from RNAcentral. Lineage: Eukaryota; Metazoa; Chordata; Mammalia; Rodentia; Muridae.